Molecule: ribosomal RNA, 440 nt
Filed under: uncultured bacterium
Lineage: Bacteria
Description: partial 16S ribosomal RNA
Rfam family: Bacterial small subunit ribosomal RNA
Source: RNAcentral
CCUACGGGAGGCAGCAGUGGGGAAUAUUGGACAAUGGGGGAAACCCUGAUCCAGCGACGCCGCGUGAGUGAAGAAGUAUUUCGGUACGUAAAGCUCUAUCAGCAGGAAAGAAAAUGACGGUACCUGACUAAGAAGCUCUGGCUAACUACGUGCCAGCAGCCGCGGUAAUACGGAGGGGGCAAGGGUUAUCCGGAUUUACUGGGUGUAAAGGGAGCGUAGACGGCGGCGUAAGUCUGGGGUGAAAGGCCGGGGCCCAACCCCGGAACUGCCCUUGAAACUGGGAAGCUGGAGUGCAGGAGAGGUAGGCGGAAUUCCUGGUGUAGCGGUGAAAUGCGUAGAUAUCAGGAGGAACACCGACGGCGAAGGCAGCUUACUGGACUGUAACUGACGUUGAGGCUCGAAGGCGUGGGGAGCAAACAGGAUUAGAUACCCCAGUAGUC